AUCCUCCCUUUGGCAGCACAUCUACUCAAAUUGGAAUAGUGCAGAGACCAUUAGCAUGGCUUCUGUGCAAGGACAGCAUGCAAAUUCAUGAAGCAGUUUUUCCCACUUUU
Small nuclear RNA from Catagonus wagneri (Chacoan peccary), 110 nucleotides. The record is from Ensembl. NCBI's taxonomy places the organism in Eukaryota, Metazoa, Chordata, Mammalia, Artiodactyla, Tayassuidae.